AAUCUAGGGUUUAGAGCGGGCUCUGCUGUCUGGAUUUCAAGUAGCUUCAAUCGAAAAUGCCUAAGCAAAUUCAUGAGAUCAAAGACUUCCUUCUCACUGCCAGAAGGAAAGAUGCACGUUCGGUGAAGAUCAAGAAGAGCAGAGAUGUAGUUAAGUUCAAGGUCCGUUGCUCCAAGUACUUGUACACAGUUUGUGUGUCCGAUGCCGAGAAGGCUGACAAGUUGAAGCAGUCCCUUCCUCCAGCCUAAGCAAAUUCAUGAGAUCAAAGACUUCCUUCUCACUGCCAGAAGGAAAGAUGCACGUUCGGUGAAGAUCAAGAAGAGCAGAGAUGUAGUUAAGUUCAAGGUCCGUUGCUCCAAGUACUUGUACACACUUUGUGUGUCCGAUGCCUAGAUGGCUGACAAGUUGAAGCAGUCCCUUCCUCCAGCCUAAGCAUAUUCAUGAGAUCAAAGACUUCCUUCUCACUGCCAGAAGGAAAGAUGCACGUUUGGUGAAGAUCAAGAAGAGCAGAGAUGUAGUUAAGUUCAAGGUCCGUUGCUCCAAGUACUUGUACACACUUUGUGUGUCCGAUGCCGAGAAGGCUGACAAGUUGAAGCAGUCCCUUCCUCUAGCCUAAGCAAAUUCAUGAGAUCAAAGACUUCCUUCUCACUGCCAGAAGAAAAGAUGCACGUUCGGUGAAGAUCAAGAAGAGCAGAGAUGUAGUUAAGUUCAAGGUCCGUUUCUCCAAGUACUUGUACACACUUUGUGUGUCCGAUGCAGAGAAGGCUGACAAGUUGAAGCAGUCCCUUUCUCCAGCCUAAGCAAAUUCAUGAGAUCAAAGACUUCCUUCUCACUGCCA
Long non-coding RNA from Hibiscus syriacus, 838 nucleotides. RefSeq lists it as uncharacterized. NCBI's taxonomy places the organism in Eukaryota, Viridiplantae, Streptophyta, Magnoliopsida, Malvales, Malvaceae. The record is from RefSeq and is a predicted model, not a curated record. The transcript has 6 exons.